This 460-nucleotide ribosomal RNA is filed under the name uncultured bacterium. RNAcentral describes it as "partial 16S ribosomal RNA". It matches the Rfam family "Bacterial small subunit ribosomal RNA", at positions 338 to 795 of the family's 1533-position model. The record is from RNAcentral.
CCUACGGGUGGCAGCAGUGAGGAAUAUUGGUCAAUGGACGAGAGUCUGAACCAGCCAAGUAGCGUGAAGGAUGACUGCCCUAUGGGUUGUAAACUUCUUUUAUAAAGGAAUAAAACGAGGCACGUGUGCCUUUUUGCAUGUACUUUAUGAAUAAGGAUCGGCUAACUCCGUGCCAGCAGCCGCGGUACUACGGAGGAUCCGAGCGUUAUCCGGAUUUAUUGGGUUUAAAGGGAGCGUAGAUGGGUUGUUAAGUCAGUUGUGAAGGUUUGCGGCUCAACCGUAAAAUUGCAAUUGAUAAUGGCAGUCUUGAGUACAGUUGAGGUAUGCGGAAUGCGUGGUGUAGCGGUGAAAUGCAUAGAUAUCACGCAGAACUCCGAUUGCGAAGGCAGCAUACCGGCGCCCAACUGACGCUGAAGCACGAAAGCGUGGGUAUCGAACAGGAUUAGAUACCCUAGUAGUC